GUAGCAUUCCUCAACGACAAUAGCCGACGGGGCACGCGAAUGCCACGACGGGCGUCGUUCGAUCGAGGCGAAUAUCGCUAGUUACGGGCAAAGACGAGUGGUUAACCCGGCACCCGCACGCGUAUUCCGCAUCCGAGAGUUCAAGCGAGAAUUCAUGGGCCACGACGACAACGUUUGCGAACCGCGUCGGGUGGGACACAAAUGACGCUUCGCGGUUCACCCGAUGCCGUACCCGGAAAAAACGGGCCAACACUAGGCGAAAGACGGACGAUUCGACAACCCAAUUCCGUUAAGUAGGUAUGCAACACAGGAAACCAACGCAAUCGUGAGGCCAAGGCUAGCGUCGCGCUUGUGCCAACAAUUGAGGAGGACCGCACGACCGGACGUCGCUGCCCCGAGCAGCGAUCCAACCGAAACAUGCCAUCCA
Molecule: unclassified non-coding RNA, 427 nt
Filed under: Saldinia longistipulata
Lineage: Eukaryota; Viridiplantae; Streptophyta; Magnoliopsida; Gentianales; Rubiaceae
Description: partial external transcribed spacer
Source: RNAcentral